AUGGCUAGUUACUUUGCCAAACUUUGCAGACUGAGACAUGUAGUUCUCGUUUUCAUCAUUUGCUCUGUCGACAUUCCAGGGAAAGAUAUUGGUGGCGUGUUUUUGGAAAUGUGGUUUAGAAAAUUACAUGAUGUUUCUGCACAUAAUUUGGUGAGCGUCAAGAGCAAUGUUUGUAUAUUUCACCUGCCUCUCUAUUGCCUGCGCUUACAUUUGUGCUUCUAUCUUAGUAUGUUUUUCAGGCAUGCACCACAUGGAAUGGAACUUGUGAUGAUGCAAAUGUGUCCGCAUCAUUAUUACAGUUAUGAAGAUCAUAAUGCUGUUCUACGUAUCUGCUGUACCAUUGUUUUCAUAGGACAACCGUGUGAUUUUACCUGUUUCUGUGUGCUAAAUUGGAUUGAUCUAUGGCGGUGA
This 411-nucleotide ribosomal RNA is filed under the name Triticum aestivum (bread wheat). Its description in RNAcentral is "partial small subunit ribosomal RNA". The record is from RNAcentral. Lineage: Eukaryota; Viridiplantae; Streptophyta; Magnoliopsida; Poales; Poaceae.